Molecule: ribosomal RNA, 248 nt
Filed under: uncultured bacterium
Lineage: Bacteria
Description: partial 16S ribosomal RNA
Rfam family: Bacterial small subunit ribosomal RNA
Source: RNAcentral
UACGUAGGUGGCAAGCGUUGUCCGGAUUUACUGGGCGUAAAGAGCGCGCAGGCGGUCGUUCAAGUCGCGUGUGAAAUCCCCGGGCUCAACCUGGGAACUGCAUUUGUGACUGCAUCGCUGGAGUGCGGCAGAGGGGGAUGGAAUUCCGCGUGUAGCAGUGAAAUGCGUAGAUAUGCGGAGGAACACCGAUGGCGAAGGCAAUCCCCUGGGCCUGCACUGACGCUCAUGCACGAAAGCGUGGGGAGCAA